This 72-nucleotide transfer RNA is filed under the name Bos taurus (domestic cattle). It matches the Rfam family "tRNA". From Rfam's summary of the family: Transfer RNA (tRNA) molecules are approximately 80 nucleotides in length. The record is from Rfam by way of RNAcentral. Lineage: Eukaryota; Metazoa; Chordata; Mammalia; Artiodactyla; Bovidae. RNAcentral also lists the same sequence under 2 other names.
UCCCUGGUGGCUCAAAUGGUAAAGUGCCUGCCCACAAUGCAGGAGACCCAGGUUUGAUCCCUGGGUUGGGAA